Molecule: transfer RNA, 71 nt
Filed under: Ictidomys tridecemlineatus (thirteen-lined ground squirrel)
Lineage: Eukaryota; Metazoa; Chordata; Mammalia; Rodentia; Sciuridae
Description: Spermophilus tridecemlineatus (thirteen-lined ground squirrel) tRNA
Rfam family: tRNA
About the family: Transfer RNA (tRNA) molecules are approximately 80 nucleotides in length. Their secondary structure includes four short double-helical elements and three loops (D, anti-codon, and T loops).
Source: Rfam by way of RNAcentral
GGGGGCAUGGCUCAGGGAUAGAGCAUUGGCUGCAGAUCAAGAGGUCCCUGGUUCCAAUUUAGGUGCUCCCU